UAGCGCCGGCUAACUCUGUGCCAGCAGCCGCGGUAAUACACGAGGGUUGCGAGCGUUAAUGCGGAUUUACUAGGGCGUAAAAGCGUGCGUAGGCGGCUUUUAAAGUCGGAUGUGAAAUCCCCGAGCUUAACUUGGGAAUUGCAUUCGAUACUGGGAAGCUAGAGUAUGGGAGAGGAUGGUAGAAUUCCAGGUGUAGCGGUGAAAUGCGUAGAGAUCUGGAGGAAUACCGAUGGCGAAGGCAGCCAUCUGGCCUAAUACUGACGCUGAGGUACGAAAGCAUGGGGAGCAAACAGGAUUAGAUACCCUGGUAGUCCAUGCCGUAAACGAUGUCUACUAGCCGUUGGGGCCUUUGAGGCUUUAGUGGCGCAGCUAACGCGAUAAGUAGACCGCCUGGGGAGUACGGUCGCAAGACUAAAACUCAAAUGAAUUGACGGGGGCCCGCACAAGCGGUGGAGCAUGUGGUUUAAUUCGAUGCAACGCGAAGAAGCUUACCUGGCCUUGACAUACUAGAAAUUUCCAGAGAUGGAUAGGUGCCUUCGGGAAUCUAGAUACAGGUGCU
This 559-nucleotide ribosomal RNA is filed under the name uncultured bacterium. RNAcentral's name for it is "bacterial SSU rRNA". It matches the Rfam family "Bacterial small subunit ribosomal RNA", at positions 488 to 1042 of the family's 1533-position model. The record is from RNAcentral.